AAAACUUUCAACAACGGAUCUCUUGGUUCUGGCAUCGAUGAAGAACGCAGCGAAAUGCGAUAAGUAAUGUGAAUUGCAGAAUUCAGUGAAUCAUCGAAUCUUUGAACGCACAUUGC
Molecule: ribosomal RNA, 116 nt
Filed under: Acroscyphus sphaerophoroides
Lineage: Eukaryota; Fungi; Ascomycota; Lecanoromycetes; Caliciales; Caliciaceae
Description: 5.8S ribosomal RNA
Rfam family: 5.8S ribosomal RNA
About the family: 5.8S ribosomal RNA (5.8S rRNA) is a component of the large subunit of the eukaryotic ribosome. It is transcribed by RNA polymerase I as part of the 45S precursor that also contains 18S and 28S rRNA. Functionally, it is thought that 5.8S rRNA may be involved in ribosome translocation.
Source: RNAcentral